GCUGCUUCGCUGACGAGUGGCGGACGGGUAGAGUAAUGUCUGGGAAACUGCCUGAUGGAGGGGGAUAACUACUGGAAACGGUAGCUAAUACCGCAUAACGUCGCAAGACCAAAGAGGGGGACCUUCGGGCCUCUUGCCAUCGGAUGUGCCCAGAUGGGAUUAGCUAGUAGGUGGGGUAACGGCUCACCUAGGCGACGAUCCC
RNAcentral lists this ribosomal RNA (202 nucleotides) under Escherichia coli. RNAcentral's name for it is "partial 16S ribosomal RNA". It matches the Rfam family "Bacterial small subunit ribosomal RNA", at positions 79 to 283 of the family's 1533-position model. The record is from RNAcentral. Lineage: Bacteria; Pseudomonadati; Pseudomonadota; Gammaproteobacteria; Enterobacterales; Enterobacteriaceae.